Molecule: ribosomal RNA, 553 nt
Filed under: Beata magna
Lineage: Eukaryota; Metazoa; Arthropoda; Arachnida; Araneae; Salticidae
Description: partial 16S ribosomal RNA
Rfam family: Bacterial large subunit ribosomal RNA (bases 168-462)
Source: RNAcentral
UUAAUAGUAAAAUCUGCUCAAUGAUUAUUUAAUAGCCGCAAUUAGUGCUAAGGUAGCAAAAUCAUUUGUCUUUUAAAUGGAGACUAGAACAAAAGAUUUUUCAUCUCAUUUAAUUUUUUUAUAUAAAAAAUAUAAAUUUUUAUAAAAGUUAAAAAUCUUUUAUACUUUAAAAAGACGACAAGACCCUAUUAAACUUAACUUAAGUUAAACUGGGGAAGUUAAUUAAUUAUUAUUUUAAUUUAUAUAAUUUUAUAAAAAUCCUUUUAAUUGAUAAAUAAGUUACUAUAGGGAUAACAGCGUAAUAUUAUUUUAAAGACCUUAUUAAAAAUAAAGAUUACGACCUCGAUGUUGAAUUAAUAACCUAAUUUAAGCAAAAUUUAAAAUAGGAAGUCUGUUCGACUUUUAAAUAAUUACAUGAUUUGAGUUCAGACCGGUACAAGCCAGGUCGGCUUUUAUCUUUUAAACAUAUUUUUGUAGUACGAAAGGACCUAAAAAUUAAAUUUAAUUUAUUAAUUUGGCAGAUCAAUGCAUUAGAAUUAGAAUCUAAUUACCU